This 84-nucleotide microRNA precursor is filed under the name Bombyx mori (domestic silkworm). Its description in RNAcentral is "mir-2807 microRNA precursor family". It matches the Rfam family "mir-2807 microRNA precursor family". Lineage: Eukaryota; Metazoa; Arthropoda; Insecta; Lepidoptera; Bombycidae. The record is from Rfam by way of RNAcentral.
UUAACUCAAAUUUGUAUGGAGUUGGAACGUUUACUUACGUUUGCCGCUAGGGGCGCUGUUCCAACUGCAUACAAAUAUGAGUUA